Molecule: ribosomal RNA, 277 nt
Filed under: Paraburkholderia phytofirmans
Lineage: Bacteria; Pseudomonadati; Pseudomonadota; Betaproteobacteria; Burkholderiales; Burkholderiaceae
Description: partial 16S ribosomal RNA
Rfam family: Bacterial small subunit ribosomal RNA
Source: RNAcentral
UGCUGGCGGCAUGCCUUACACAUGCAAGUCGAACGGCAGCACGGGGGCAACCCUGGUGGCGAGUGGCGAACGGGUGAGUAAUACAUCGGAACGUGUCCUGUAGUGGGGGAUAGCCCGGCGAAAGCCGGAUUAAUACCGCAUACGCUCUACGGAGGAAAGGGGGGGAUCUUAGGACCUCCCGCUACAGGGGCGGCCGAUGGCAGAUUAGCUAGUUGGUGGGGUAAAGGCCUACCAAGGCGACGAUCUGUAUCUGGUCUGAAAGGACGACCGUCUUCCU